This 424-nucleotide ribosomal RNA is filed under the name uncultured bacterium. RNAcentral describes it as "partial 16S ribosomal RNA". It matches the Rfam family "Bacterial small subunit ribosomal RNA", at positions 360 to 776 of the family's 1533-position model. The record is from RNAcentral.
AAUCUUCCGCAAUGGACGAAAGUCUGACGGAGCAACGCCGCGUGAGUGAUGAAGGUCNNNGGGUUNUCAAGUACUUUUGGCAGNGACNAAAAGGUAUCCCCUAAUACGGGAUACUGCUGACGGUAUCUGCAGAAUAAGCACCGGCUAACUACGUGCCAGCAGCCGCGGUAAUACGUAGGGUGCAAGCGUUAAUCGGAAUUACUGGGCGUAAGGCGUGUGUAGGCGGUUCGGAAAGAAAGAUGUGAAAUCCCAGGGCUCAACCUUGGAACUGCAUUUUUAACUGCCGAGCUAGAGUAUGUCAGAGGGGGGUAGAAUUCCACGUGUAGCAGUGAAAUGCGUAGAUAUGUGGAGGAAUACCGAUGGCGAAGGCAGCCCCCUGGGAUAAUACUGACGCUCAGACACGAAAGCGUGGGGAGCAAACAGG